This 254-nucleotide ribosomal RNA is filed under the name uncultured bacterium. Its description in RNAcentral is "partial 16S ribosomal RNA". It matches the Rfam family "Bacterial small subunit ribosomal RNA", at positions 524 to 776 of the family's 1533-position model. The record is from RNAcentral.
UACGGGGGGGGCAAGCGUUGUUCGGAUUUACUGGGCGUAAAGGGCGCGUAGGCGGCCACCGCAAGUCGACUGUGAAAUCUCCGGGCUUAACCCGGAAAGGUCAGCCGAUACUGCGGGGCUAGAGUGCAGAAGGGGCAACUGGAAUUCUCGGUGUAGCGGUGAAAUGCGUAGAUAUCGAGAGGAACACCAGCGGCGAAGGCGGGUUGCUGGGCUGACACUGACGCUGAGGCGCGAAAGCGAGGGGAGCGAACGGG